This 486-nucleotide ribosomal RNA is filed under the name uncultured bacterium. RNAcentral's name for it is "partial 16S ribosomal RNA". It matches the Rfam family "Bacterial small subunit ribosomal RNA", at positions 30 to 507 of the family's 1533-position model. The record is from RNAcentral.
AUUGAACGCUGGCGGCAUGCCUUACACAUGCCAGUCGAACGGCAGCACGGGUGCUUGCACCUGGUGGCGAGUGGCGAACGGGUGAGUAAUACAUCGGAACAUGUCCUGUAGUGGGGGAUAGCCCGGCGAAAGCCGGAUUAAUACCGCAUACGAUCUACGGAUGAAAGCGGGGGACCUUCGGGCCUCGCGCUAUAGGGUUGGCCGAUGGCUGAUUAGCUAGUUGGUGGGGUAAAGGCCUACCAAGGCGACGAUCAGUAGCUGGUCUGAGAGGACGACCAGCCACACUGGGACUGAGACACGGCCCAGGCUCCUACGGGAGGCAGCAGUGGGGAAUUUUGGACAAUGGGCGAAAGCCUGAUCCAGCAAUGCCGCGUGUGUGAAGAAGGCCUUCGGGUUGUAAAGCACUUUUGUCCGGAAAGAAAUCCUUGGCCCUAAUACGGUCGGGGGAUGACGGUACCGGAAGAAUAAGCACCGGCUAACUACGUG